GAUGAACGCUGACAGAAUGCUUAACACAUGCAAGUCAACUUGAAUUUGGGUUUUUAACUUAGAUUUGGGUGGCGGACGGGUGAGUAACGCGUAAAGAACUUGCCUCACAGCUAGGGACAACAUUUAGAAAUGAAUGCUAAUACCUGAUAUUAUGAUUUUAAGGCAUCUUAGAAUUAUGAAAGCUAUAAGCACUGUGAGAGAGCUUUGCGUCCCAUUAGCUAGUUGGAGAGGUAACGGCUCACCAAGGCGAUGAUGGGUAGCCGGCCUGAGAGGGUGAUCGGCCACAAGGGGACUGAGACACGGCCCUUACUCCUACGGGAGGCAGCAGUGGGGAAUAUUGGACAAUGGACCAAGAGUCUGAUCCAGCAAUUCUGUGUGCACGAUGAAGUUUUUCGGAAUGUAAAGUGCUUUCAGUUGGGAAGAAAAAAAUGACGGUACCAACAGAAGAAGUGACGGCUAAAUACGUGCCAGCAGCCGCGGUAAUACGUAUGUCACAAGCGUUAUCCGGAUUUAUUGGGCGUAAAGCGCGUCUAGGUGGUUAUGUAAGUCUGAUGUGAAAAUGCAGGGCUCAACUCUGUAUUGCGUUGGAAACUGUGUAACUAGAGUACUGGAGAGGUAAGCGGAACUACAAGUGUAGAGGUGAAAUUCGUAGAUAUUUGUAGGAAUGCCGAUGGGGAAGCCAGCUUACUGGACAGAUACUGACGCUGAAGCGCGAAAGCGUGGGUAGCAAACAGG
RNAcentral lists this ribosomal RNA (735 nucleotides) under uncultured Fusobacterium sp. RNAcentral's name for it is "bacterial SSU rRNA". It matches the Rfam family "Bacterial small subunit ribosomal RNA", at positions 28 to 776 of the family's 1533-position model. The record is from RNAcentral. Lineage: Bacteria; Fusobacteriati; Fusobacteriota; Fusobacteriia; Fusobacteriales; Fusobacteriaceae.